UACAGAGGGGGCAAGCGUUGUCCGGAAUGACUGGGCGUAAAGGGUCCGCAGGUGGACCCGCGCGUGUGGUGUGAAACCGCCGGGCUUAACCCGGCGCGGGCAUCGCAUACGGCGGGUCUUGAGAGGGGGAGAGGUGGGUCGAAUUGCCGAUGUAGUGGUGAAAUGCGUAGAGAUCGGCAGGAAGACCGAGGGGGAAGGCAGCCCACUGGCCCCGCUCU
This 218-nucleotide ribosomal RNA is filed under the name uncultured bacterium. Its description in RNAcentral is "partial 16S ribosomal RNA". It matches the Rfam family "Bacterial small subunit ribosomal RNA", at positions 524 to 741 of the family's 1533-position model. The record is from RNAcentral.